AAUAUUGGGCAAUGGGCGCAAGCCUGACCCAGCGACGCCGCGUGAGGGAAGAAGGUCUUCGGAUUGUAAACCUUAGUAGUCAGGGACGAUAAUGACGGUACCUGAAGAGUAAGCUCCGGCUAACUACGUGCCAGCAGCCGCGGUAAAACGUAGGAGGCAAGCGUUAUCCGGAGUUACUGGGCGUAAAGCGCGCGCAGGCGGUUAGGCAAGUUGGGUGUGAAAGCUCCCGGCUAAACCGGGAGAGUGCAUUCAAGACUGCCUGGCUAGAGGACGGUAGAGGGGCGCAGAAUUCGGGGUGUAGCGGUGAAAUGUGUAGAGAUCCCGAGGAAUACCAGUGGGGAAGCCGGCGCCCUGGGCCGAACCUGACGCUGAGGCGCGACAGCGUGGGGAGCGAACGGG
This 399-nucleotide ribosomal RNA is filed under the name uncultured bacterium. Its description in RNAcentral is "partial 16S ribosomal RNA". It matches the Rfam family "Bacterial small subunit ribosomal RNA", at positions 360 to 776 of the family's 1533-position model. The record is from RNAcentral.